RNAcentral lists this ribosomal RNA (957 nucleotides) under Bacillus sp. PA2(2015). RNAcentral's name for it is "bacterial SSU rRNA". It matches the Rfam family "Bacterial small subunit ribosomal RNA", at positions 52 to 991 of the family's 1533-position model. Lineage: Bacteria; Bacillati; Bacillota; Bacilli; Caryophanales; Bacillaceae. The record is from RNAcentral.
UACAUGCAGUCGAGCGGACAGAUGGGAGCUUGCUCCCUGAUGUUAGCGGCGGACGGGUGAGUAACACGUGGGUAACCUGCCUGUAAGACUGGGAUAACUCCGGGAAACCGGGGCUAAUACCGGAUGGUUGUUUGAACCGCAUGGUUCAGACAUAAAAGGUGGCUUCGGCUACCACUUACAGAUGGACCCGCGGCGCAUUAGCUAGUUGGUGAGGUAACGGCUCACCAAGGCGACGAUGCGUAGCCGACCUGAGAGGGUGAUCGGCCACACUGGGACUGAGACACGGCCCAGACUCCUACGGGAGGCAGCAGUAGGGAAUCUUCCGCAAUGGACGAAAGUCUGACGGAGCAACGCCGCGUGAGUGAUGAAGGUUUUCGGAUCGUAAAGCUCUGUUGUUAGGGAAGAACAAGUGCCGUUCAAAUAGGGCGGCACCUUGACGGUACCUAACCAGAAAGCCACGGCUAACUACGUGCCAGCAGCCGCGGUAAUACGUAGGUGGCAAGCGUUGUCCGGAAUUAUUGGGCGUAAAGGGCUCGCAGGCGGUUUCUUAAGUCUGAUGUGAAAGCCCCCGGCUCAACCGGGGAGGGUCAUUGGAAACUGGGGAACUUGAGUGCAGAAGAGGAGAGUGGAAUUCCACGUGUAGCGGUGAAAUGCGUAGAGAUGUGGAGGAACACCAGUGGCGAAGGCGACUCUCUGGUCUGUAACUGACGCUGAGGAGCGAAAGCGUGGGGAGCGAACAGGAUUAGAUACCCUGGUAGUCCACGCCGUAAACGAUGAGUGCUAAGUGUUAGGGGGUUUCCGCCCCUUAGUGCUGCAGCUAACGCAUUAAGCACUCCGCCUGGGGAGUACGGUCGCAAGACUGAAACUCAAAGGAAUUGACGGGGGCCCGCACAAGCGGUGGAGCAUGGUGGUUUAAUUCGAAGCAACGCGAAGACCUUACCAGGUCUUGACAUCCUC